GAUGAACGCUGGCGGCGUGCCUAAUACAUGCAAGUCGAGCGAACAGACGAGGAGCUUGCUCCUUUGACGUUAGCGGCGGACGGGUGAGUAACACGUGGAUAACCUACCUAUAAGACUGGGAUAACUUCGGGAAACCGGAGCUAAUACCGGAUAAUAUUUCGAACCGCAUGGUUCGAUAGUGAAAGAUGGCUUUGCUAUCACUUAUAGAUGGACCUGCGCUGUAUUAGCUAGUUGGUAAGGUAACGGCUUACCAAGGCAACGAUACGUAGCCGACCUGAGAGGGUGAUCGGCCACACUGGAACUGAGACACGGUCCAGACUCCUACGGGAGGCAGCAGUAGGGAAUCUUCCGCAAUGGGCGAAAGCCUGACGGAGCAACGCCGCGUGAGUGAUGAAGGUCUUCGGAUCGUAAAACUCUGUUAUUAGGGAAGAACAAACGUGUAAGUAACUGUGCACGUCUUGACGGUACCUAAUCAGAAAGCCACGGCUAACUACGUG
RNAcentral lists this ribosomal RNA (497 nucleotides) under uncultured bacterium. RNAcentral's name for it is "partial 16S ribosomal RNA". It matches the Rfam family "Bacterial small subunit ribosomal RNA", at positions 28 to 507 of the family's 1533-position model. The record is from RNAcentral.